AACUUGUUCAACAAAGAGUCGGUGUGUGUUUCCAGGUCCCUGGCGGUGUACUUCGUUCAUUCUCUGUUGUAAAAUAUCAGUGCAUAGUAGAAUUCAGCGGAGCAACACACACGACUAAAUGUCAUGGUGUGGUAA
This is a long non-coding RNA of Haliotis rubra (blacklip abalone), 135 nucleotides long. RefSeq lists it as uncharacterized. Lineage: Eukaryota; Metazoa; Mollusca; Gastropoda; Lepetellida; Haliotidae. The record is from RefSeq and is a predicted model, not a curated record. The transcript is spliced from 2 exons.